AUUGAACGCUGGCGGUAGGCCUAACACAUGCAAGUCGAACGCGAAAGUCCUUCGGGCGGAGUAGAGUGGCGGACGGGUGAGUAACGCGUGGGAAUCUACCCUAGAGCGGGGGACGAACCCGGGGAAACCCGGGCUAAUACCGCAUACGUCCUACGGGAGAAAGAGGGCCUCUGCUUGCACGCUCUCACUCCAGGAUGAGCCCACGUCCGAUUAGCUAGUUGGUAGGGUAAAGGCCUACCAAGGCCACGAUCGGUAGCUGGUCUGAGAGGAUGGCCAGCCACACUGGGACUGAGACACGGCCCAGACUCCUACGGGAGGCAGCAGUGGGGAAUAUUGGACAAUGGGCGCAAGCCUGAUCCAGCAAUGCCGCGUGUGUGAAGAAGGCCUGCGGGUUGUAAAGCACUUUCAGUGGGGAAGAACAGAUUCGGGUCAAUACCCCGGAGCCCUGACGUUACCCACAGAAGAAGCACCGGCUAACUCCGUG
RNAcentral lists this ribosomal RNA (484 nucleotides) under uncultured bacterium. Its description in RNAcentral is "bacterial SSU rRNA". It matches the Rfam family "Bacterial small subunit ribosomal RNA", at positions 29 to 507 of the family's 1533-position model. The record is from RNAcentral.